Molecule: unclassified non-coding RNA, 309 nt
Filed under: plant metagenome
Description: partial contains 5.8S ribosomal RNA, internal transcribed spacer 2, and large subunit ribosomal RNA
Rfam family: 5.8S ribosomal RNA (bases 1-105)
Source: RNAcentral
GAAAUGCGAUAAGUAGUGUGAAUUGCAGAAUUCAGUGAAUCAUCGAAUCUUUGAACGCACAUUGCGCCCCUUGGUAUUCCAUGGGGCAUUCCUGUUCGAGCGUCAUUUGUACCCUCAAGCUCUGCUUGGUGUUGGGUGUUUGUCCCGUCUCCGCGCGUGGACUCGCCCCAAAGUGAUUGGCAGCCGGCGUACUGGUCCCGGAGCGCAGCACAUGUCGCGCAAACGAGUUCCUUGGUACGGCGGCGUCCAUAAGCCCCUCUCUCACGCUCUUGACCUCGGAUCAGGUAGGGAUACCCGCUGAACUUAAGC